RNAcentral lists this microRNA precursor (88 nucleotides) under Erinaceus europaeus (western European hedgehog). The record is from RNAcentral. Lineage: Eukaryota; Metazoa; Chordata; Mammalia; Eulipotyphla; Erinaceidae.
UGUCUACAGCCAUACCACCCUGAACACACCCGAUCUCGUCUGAUCUCAGAAGCUAAGCAGGGUCGGGCCUGGUUAGUACUUGGAUGGG